CGUGACUCCAACUGUGAUCUUCAAAGACUUCCUUUUUCCCAGUUCCUCCCACGGCAAGCCUUCCCACCUCUUUGCUUCUCUACAGAGGUCAAGUCUUUAAAAUGAUGGUGGUGAUGAUGAUGACGAUGAUGGACAAACUAGAAGCCACAGAAAUGGCUCAUGUCUGAUGAAGUGCUGGGAGUUGGAGGUGAGAGAAGACUCCAUGCUGGCACCGGCUCUUUUCAGCCAGAUCACAUCUUGGACACAAUCCUUCUUUUCAAGCAGUGCCAGUGGAGAUGAGGAGGUGUGAAUCCAAGGCCAAGGCUGAAGCCCAGGUUGAUGAACACAAAGCUGAGGGCUGCCUCCGCCUAAACAGAGACCGCCAGCUCCCUUUUAUAUUUCCUCUGAAAGAAGCACAAUGUUUCAACUAGAAACUGGAGGGUUAUUAGUUUCCCCACCAAAAGAAAAAGAGUCUCAAAUGUGGGAUUCCACAUAACAGGGCUGCUUUUGAACUCCCCAGCCCUCAACAUCUGCAGCCGUUUCUAUUCUCCAAGCGUUGCCAACUCCUGCUUUAAGGACUGAUAUCUCCAGGCACGCAUGGGUUCUGGCGGCCUCUGUUGAGUACAACAGGCUGCGGGAAGCCGAGUCAGCAAGGGGAGAGGUGAAGGAUCCUUCCUACUUGGCUUACUUGACUUUAACUUCACUUUGUGUCUGAAUCUCCGCCUACAGAAUGGCUUCAGAAUGUACAAAUACAGCAAACAAGGUACAAAUGUGCCACCAUCCUCUGUAAAAAUAACCUCUGGGCUUAUGUAAGGAUAAUUAAACAGCAAAGAUCAAACAAAA
Molecule: long non-coding RNA, 822 nt
Organism: Mastomys coucha (southern multimammate mouse)
Lineage: Eukaryota; Metazoa; Chordata; Mammalia; Rodentia; Muridae
Exons: 2
Source: RefSeq, a predicted model, not a curated record